Molecule: ribosomal RNA, 582 nt
Filed under: Bario oligolepis (glass tetra)
Lineage: Eukaryota; Metazoa; Chordata; Actinopteri; Characiformes; Acestrorhamphidae
Description: Moenkhausia oligolepis (glass tetra) partial 16S ribosomal RNA
Rfam family: Bacterial large subunit ribosomal RNA
Source: RNAcentral
AAACAUCGCCUCCUGCAAACCCCCAUAUAUAGGAGGUCCUACCUGCCCAGUGACUAAGUUUAACGGCCGCGGUAUUCUGACCGUGCAAAGGUAGCGCAAUCACUUGUCUCUUAAAUAGAGACCUGUAUGAAUGGUCAAACGAGGGCUUAACUGUCUCCUUUUUCUAAUCAAUGAAAUUGAUCUACCCGUGCAGAAGCGGGUAUAAAUAUACAAGACGAGAAGACCCUAUGGAGCUUAAGACAUAAAGUCACCUAUGCUAAAACCCCUAAAUUAAAAGGAUUAAGCAAAAUAAGCCAUUUGACUUGAGUCUUCGGUUGGGGCGACCGCGGGGAAUAAGAAAUCCCCCAUGUGGAAUGAAAUAUUAUUCAAACCAAGAGGUACACCUCUAAGUCACAGAACUUCUGACCAAAUGAUCCGGCACUAGCCGACCAACGGACUAAGUUACCCUAGGGAUAACAGCGCAAUCCUCUUCAAGAGUCCAUAUCGACAAGAGGGUUUACGACCUCGAUGUUGGAUCAGGACAUCCUAAUGGUGCAGCCGCUAUUAAGGGUUCGUUUGUUCAACGAUUAAAGUCCUACGUGA